GUUCGGCGCCAUUGCGAAAUUUUCAGCGCGCUUCUGCGGGUUUUCAACUGGGCGAUCGACACUUUUUUAAAGUACUUUUUGGAGAGGGAUGAAAGAAAAUGACAAGUAUACCAAUAUUUCUAACUCUGUGGAUACUUGUGGUGUUUGCUGGCCCCUCUGAUGAGGAUAUUUUAAUGAUCAAAGUACGAACAAAACUCGAAAAAAGCCCGAAAACUUGAAGUUUGAGAUUUGAUUUACUGGAAAUCAAGAUGUGCAGAUGAGACGGGAAACCUUGAAGUCACAUUGGACACAAGGCUCUAAAAAAUGUUCCAGCUUCAGGAUUGAGUUGCUCUUACAACAACCUUCGGCGAAUUCGAUUUUGGGAGGUUGAGGUGGAUUUUCCAAGUCAUGGCUCACAACUGUCUUUGGCCCUUUUGCUCUCCAAGUCUGUUGAACAUGGUAGCUUUCAAACUGCUAUGUUUGAGCCUUGUAAUCCAUUCUUCUAGUCUCGCAUAACCAUCCUUUCUAGAUAUUUGACAUAGUGGCUGACAUUUUCAGAGGAACUGGUCACAAUAAUGCCCCCCUGGAGACCAUGUGUGUGACUUU
Pocillopora damicornis (cauliflower coral) is the source of this 585-nucleotide long non-coding RNA. The record is from RefSeq and is a predicted model, not a curated record. Lineage: Eukaryota; Metazoa; Cnidaria; Anthozoa; Scleractinia; Pocilloporidae.